Molecule: long non-coding RNA, 311 nt
Organism: Chelonia mydas (Green sea turtle)
Lineage: Eukaryota; Metazoa; Chordata; Testudines; Cheloniidae
Exons: 3
Source: RefSeq, a predicted model, not a curated record
ACCCCAGAUGAGCAAGAAAGCAUGUGUCACUGACAGUAACAGAGGAUUUGAAACUGAGAGGGAGAGAAAUUGGUCAACAGGCCUUCUCUAUGGAACCAAAAUAACCCUGCUGAAACAUGGGUGUAACCAUACAGUGUUAUAUAAUCUGGUUUAUUAUUGCCUGGAUGGACAGAAAACUGCUGGAGAACCAUAUUUUAGCCUACGUAUCUAUAAAGGACCUCAGUUUCGGUCUGAACUCUUGUGGGGUUGCCGUGUCAAGGAAGGCCUUCUGUUUUCCUGGGAGUAAAGACAUAACAUCAGUGGAGUCUCAC